RNAcentral lists this ribosomal RNA (479 nucleotides) under Streptococcus sp. canine oral taxon 279. RNAcentral's name for it is "bacterial SSU rRNA". It matches the Rfam family "Bacterial small subunit ribosomal RNA", at positions 9 to 474 of the family's 1533-position model. Lineage: Bacteria; Bacillati; Bacillota; Bacilli; Lactobacillales; Streptococcaceae. The record is from RNAcentral.
GAGUUUGAUUCUGGCUCAGGACGAACGCUGGCGGCGUGCCUAAUACAUGCAAGUAGAACGCUGAAGGAAUAGCUUGCUAUUCUGGAAGAGUUGCGAACGGGUGAGUAACGCGUAGGUAACCUACCUCAUAGCGGGGGAUAACUAUUGGAAACGAUAGCUAAUACCGCAUAAGAAUACUUAUUGCAUGAUAAGUAUUUAAAAGGAACAACUGUUUCACUGUGAGAUGGACCUGCGUUGUAUUAGCUAGUUGGUAAGGUAACGGCUUACCAAGGCGACGAUACAUAGCCGACCUGAGAGGGUGAUCGGCCACACUGGGACUGAGACACGGCCCAGACUCCUACGGGAGGCAGCAGUAGGGAAUCUUCGGCAAUGGGGGCAACCCUGACCGAGCAACGCCGCGUGAGUGAAGAAGGUUUUCGGAUCGUAAAGCUCUGUUGUCAGCCAAGAAUGUAUGUGAGAGUGGAAAGUCACAUAGGACG